GAGUUUGAUCACUGGCUCAGAACGUACGCUGGCGGCACGCCUAACACAUGCAAGUCGAACGAAGUAGCAAUACUUAGUGGCAGACGGGUGAGUAACAUGUAGGUAUCUGCCCUUUGGCCUGGAAUAACACGAGGAAACUUGUGCUAAUACCGGAUAAGUCUUUACGGAGAAAGCUUUAUGCACCAUUGGAUGAGCCUGCACUUGAUUAGUUUGUUGGUGGGGUAAUGGCCUACCAAGACUGUGAUCAAUAGCUGAUUUGAGAGGAUGAUCAGCCACAUUGGGACUGAGACACGGCCCAAACUCCUACGGGAGGCAGCAGUGGGGAAUCUUGCACAAUGGAGGAAACUCUGAUGCAGCGAUGCCGCGUGAGUGAAGAAGGCCCUUGGGUUGUAAAGCUCUUUCGUCGGGGAAGAAAAUGACUGUACCCGAAUAAGAAGGUCCGGCUAACUUCGUGCCAGCAGCCGCGGUAAUACGAAGGGACCUAGCGUAGUUCGGAAUUACUGGGCUUAAAGAGUUCGUAGGUGGUUGAAAAAGUUAGUGGUGAAAUCCCAGAGCUUAACUCUGGAACUGCCAUCAAAACUUUUCAGCUAGAGUAUGAUAGAGGAAAGCAGAAUUUCUAGUGUAGAGGUGAAAUUCGUAGAUAUUAGAAAGAAUACCAAUUGCGAAGGCAGCUUUCUGGAUCAUUACUGACACUGAGGAACGAAAGCAUGGGUAGCGAAGAGGAUUAGAUACCCACGUAGUCCAUGCCGUAAACGAUGUGUGUUAGACGUUGGAAAUUUAUUUUCAGUGUCGCAGGGAAACCGAUAAACACACCGCCUGGGGAGUACGACCGCAAGGUUAAAACUCAAAUGAAUUGACGGGGACCCGCACAAGUAGUGGAGCAUGUGGUUUAAUUCGAAGAUACGCGCAGAACCUUACCAACACUUGACAUGUUCGUCGCGACUCUAAGAGAUUAGAGUUUUCGGUUCGGCCGGACGAAACACAGGUGCUGCAUGGCUGUCGUCAGCUCGUGUCGUGAGAUGUUGGGUUAAGUCCCGCAACGAGCGCAACCCUCACUUUUAGUUGCCAUCAUUAAGUUGGGCACUCUGAAAGAACUGCCAGUGAUAAGCUGGAGGAAGGUGGGGAUGACGUCAAGUCCUCAUGGCCCUUACGUGUUGGGCUACACACGUGCUACAAUGGUAUCUACAACAGGAAGCAAGACUGCGAAGUUAAGCAAAUCCCUAAAAGAUACCUCAGUUCGGAUUGCACUCUGCAACUCGAGUGCAUGAAGCUGGAAUUACUAGUAAUCGUGGAUCAGCGUGCCACGGUGAAUGCGUUCCCGGGUCUUGUACACACCGCCCGUCACACCAUGGGAGUUGGUUCUACCUUAAGGCAAGGUUUCAAACCCUUGACCACGGUAUAGUCAGCGACUGGGGUGAAGUCGUAACAAGGUAACC
Molecule: ribosomal RNA, 1436 nt
Filed under: uncultured marine bacterium
Lineage: Bacteria
Description: bacterial SSU rRNA
Rfam family: Bacterial small subunit ribosomal RNA
Source: RNAcentral